RNAcentral lists this ribosomal RNA (345 nucleotides) under uncultured bacterium. RNAcentral's name for it is "bacterial SSU rRNA". It matches the Rfam family "Bacterial small subunit ribosomal RNA", at positions 29 to 355 of the family's 1533-position model. The record is from RNAcentral.
AGUGAACGCUGGCGGCGUGCUUAACACAUGCAAGUCGAACGCGAAAGGGGAGCAAUCCCCGAGUAGAGUGGCGAACGGGUGAGUAAUGUGUGGGUAAUUUGCCUUUCAGCGGGGGAUAACUCGGGGAAACCUGAGCUAAUACCCCAUAAUGUUGCUUGAUCUUCGGGUCGAGUAAUCAAACGAUGGCCUCUGCUUGCAAGCUAUCGCUGAAAGAUGAGCCCACAUCCUAUCACGCUUGUUGGUGGGGUAAUGGCCUACCAAGGCGACGACGGGUAGCCGGCCUGAGAGGGUGUACGGCCACACUGGAACUGAGACACGGUCCAGACUCCUACGGGAGGCAGCAGU